This is a long non-coding RNA of Lolium rigidum, 149 nucleotides long. RefSeq lists it as uncharacterized. The transcript is spliced from 2 exons. Lineage: Eukaryota; Viridiplantae; Streptophyta; Magnoliopsida; Poales; Poaceae. The record is from RefSeq and is a predicted model, not a curated record.
UGCAGGCAAGAAGGCUGAUAGGAGAAACCAUUUUCAGGCAACAAGACUUUUUGCAGGAAAUUUGUGUAAAAACAAGGAAAACCGAGAGGCUGUCAAGCAUCACGAAACUACCGGCUCUAGGUCUUAUCCUGCCCAUUUCCACCAACUUG